RNAcentral lists this small nuclear RNA (107 nucleotides) under Cavia aperea (Brazilian guinea pig). Lineage: Eukaryota; Metazoa; Chordata; Mammalia; Rodentia; Caviidae. The record is from RNAcentral.
GUGCUUGCUUCGGCAGCAUAUAUACUAAAAUUGGAACGAUACAGAGAAGAUUAGCAUGGCCCCUGCACAAGGAUGACACACAAAUUCGUGAAGCGUUCCAUAUUAAA